This 6943-nucleotide long non-coding RNA is filed under the name Sus scrofa (pig). RNAcentral describes it as "lncRNA (ENSSSCG00040073131.1)". Lineage: Eukaryota; Metazoa; Chordata; Mammalia; Artiodactyla; Suidae. The record is from RNAcentral.
UUCCACACCAGUAAUUUCCACCAGUCUGUCUUCCACUUUGCUUAUUUGUUCUUCUGCCUCAUGGAUUCUGCUAUUGAUUUCUUCUAGUGUAUUUUCCAUUUCAGUUAUUCUGUUUUUCAUCUCUUUUGUUCUGUUGUUCAUCUCUGUUCUUUAAAUCUUUGUUGUUGUUGUUGUUAAAUCUUUCUUAUCAUUUCUCGAUUUUUGCCUCUGGAUUUUUUCCAAAGUCUUGGAUCAUCCUUACUAUCAUAAUUCUAAAGUCUUUUUCAUGUAGGUUGCCUAUCUCCACUUAGUUGUUCUUCUGGGGUUUUGUCUUGUUUCUUCAUCUGGAGCAUAUUUAUCUGCCAUUUUAUGUUGUCUAGCUAUCUGUGUGUGUUUUCUCUUUUCUGCAGGCUGCAGGGUUGUAGCCUCUUUUGUUUCUGGUGUAUGCCCCCCAGUGAGUGAAGCUGAUACAGGGACUUGUAGCAAGCUUCCUGAUGGGAGGGACUAGUUAGUGCCUGCCCACUGGUUGGUGGGAAUGAGUCUUGUCCCUCUGGUAGGCAGGGCCAUGUCAUAGGUGGAUGUGUCCACAGAAGGACUUUAGGCAGCCCGUCUGCUGAUGGGUGGGGCUGUGUUCCCACCAUUUGUUGUUUGGCCUGGGGCUUAUCAGCACUGGUGCUGACAUGCUGUUGGGUGGGGCCAGGUUUUUCCAAAAUGGCAGCCUCCAGGAGAAUGCAUGCCUAUAAAUAUUCCCUGAGACCUCUGCCUACAGUGUCCUGCCCCCACAAUGAGACAUAGCUGACUCCUGCCUCCCUAGCAGACCCUCCAAGACCCACAGGUAGCUCUGUCCCUGACUCUUAAGGAGUCUGUUCUUUGCCCUGGGACCUAGUGUGCAUGAAACCUUGUGUGUGCACUCCAAGAGUAGAGUCUCUGUUUCCGCCAGUCCUGUGGAGCUCCUUUGCUGCCCUUCAAUGCCAAAUGCUAUGGAGGCUCCUCUUAGCAGUGUCAGACCCCCAGGUUGGGGAACCUGACCAUGGGGUUCAGAACUCUCACACCUGUAAGAGAACCUCUGCAAUAUAGUUAUUUUCUUGUUUGUCAAUUGCUCAUCUGGCAGGUGUAGAAUUGCUCAUAUCAAGAACGAGCCCCUCCUUCCAUCUCAUUGGGGCUUCCUCUUUAUCUUUGGGUGUAGGAUAUCUUUUUUGGUAACUUCUGUUUUGUCAGUGGUCGUUCAGCAGCUAAUUGUGAUUUUUGGUGAUUUGUGAAAGGUGAGCUUGAGUCCUUCUGCUCCACCAUUUUGUCUGAUCCAAGUACAGGGGUUGACAUUUUUUAAAUGAGAGUUUUACCACAUGAAAGCAAAGAUUAGAGAAGCAACUUUGGAGGAAUCUAUGUUUCUGUCUUUUCUGUCCCACAGAGACUCCGAGUAUAAGCCUCCAAAAGGAAGAACCUUUGGAAGUUAUGGAAAGCCCUGAGCCUUUAACCAAGAGUGUAGGGGAGCUCCCAGAAUCUACAGCUGUCAUACAAGAGCCUGCCUAGAAAAGCAUCAGAAAUGCUUCCCACAGAUGACAGUAGACAACCAACUGGUGUCCACUGAGCCAGCCUUUGAAUGCACCCAAACACCCACCAUGGCACCAACAGUGAGGCCACCCUCCAAACUAUACUGCCUACCAUGGAGGCCCCUCCUCCUGAAAUAUAACCCCAAAGCCCCCCACUAGCGAAUCCUCCUAAUAAUCCUCUUUCAUGUUGUUUUCCACCACAUCCAGCAUGUCCUUCUCCUCCUUGGGCUGUCUUCAAAGAAGAAUUAACCACAAACUUGCCCACUUCUUACCCUUCCUCUCUGUGCCCGGGGUGACCCGAUGGUGGAGUGGUCAAGAAAGGCAUACAGCAGAGCCAGGGAGGCUCUCAGGAAAACCAUUCUGGUCUUCCUUUCAUCUCAAGGGGAUGAACAAAGGGAAAAGAGUCAUGGUUUUGGAGCUGGAGUCAGUUGUCCUCCAGGUAUCACAGGACUUUUCUCACCCGAACUCUUCAAAUAUUCCCCACUAAAGCAGUGGCUACGGUGAACAUCAGCAUGUAAAUAAAGGCAACCUCUAAGGAACCCACAAGGUAAAUGAUACAAUCUUUCUUUGGACCCUUCUGUGGUCACUCUGACAGUGUCUAGGGGAUGAGUGCCAAAGUGAAGCCAUCCUGAGUCAGAGAAUGAGAGGUUGCUUCAGACAGCAACAUCAUCUUCCCAGAAAGCAGGCCUGUCUGGUUUGGGACCUCUGUUUCAACACCUAGCCCCUCUGCCUCCCACAUAGGCUUCUGGAAAGAGGAACGGCACUCCCUAUAGAAUGACUCAGCAUCUAGAUGCAGGUGACCCCAGACACCUGGGUGUGUGAGGGUAAGUGGAACUGGGCUGGCUCUGCUCAAGUAUCAGGGGGGACCUUGAGAGCAGAUCAAAUAUGCCUGUGUCUAGGAGCUUCUCUCCUGUAACUUCUCUAGGCACUCAUCCCAGCCACUCAUCCAGAAGGAUGUCUUACUACCACUUUCCUGUCUGAAACCCCACCUCAGACCUGCCUGGGUCAUGUCCAGACUUGUUUGUUCCAUCCUGGUCACAAAGUAAUAUUUUACAGGCACCCACUGGAUGUAAGGAUUUAACCCAAGGCAGCAUUAUUCCUGAGGUUCUUGGAGAUGAUUCUGGCAGGACACAAGGGCAACUCUGGAUCUACUAUCCCUAGGUAAGGCCCAGAAGCCGGUUCCCUCUGUAGAUCUCCAGCCCAGCCACGCUUAGGCUUCCACUUCCCAGGCUGAUCUCUAGCAUUUUCCUCUAAGCCCCUUUCAAGCACACUGGGCUCAGGCACCCCAACCUCCAACAGUUUGACCCUGCACACACACACAAAGGAGACAGUUCUUCAGGCCACAAACUCUGUCCUGACCCCACACACUGCCCCUCCCCUCUCUCAGCAAAGAUACUACAGGGCCAGAAGAUGAACCACAUGCUUUAUGCCCUGAGAUGAUCAGGGGAGACUUGAACAGGGGCUCAGCACUCACACUGUAGUAUGUAAAAGUGACCUGUCUCCCUUACCCCAGCUGAGGCUCCUGGACUUAGGGGACUUGAGCCAGUCCCUUAGGUUUCAGAAUAGUCUUGGUUUGGUUGUUCCCAGCAAGGAAAAUUACAUUGUCCUUUUGAUUCCCUUUCCUGGUGGUGCACAGAAAGCCAAAGAGGUUGCGUGAUAGAGCUGGUCUAAGAAUGGCAUCCAAGGAGCACAGGCUCUUACCACUGGGAAGGCCACAGCAAUCCAGGACUAGAACCAACCAGGUGCUUGGGGUGGGUGGAGGGGAGUUCUGCAUCCUGGCAAGGCCACCUCAUUAGAAGAAGGGUUAGAGGCCACAUUGGUGUGGUCAGUGGUGGCCAACCGGGCUUGCCUCCCUGCCUGCAUGGCAAAGGGUGUUCCAUGGCUACAGAGGUAACAACUGAUGGUCCUGAGCCAGUGCCACCUUCCCACUGUUCACUUGCCACUCCUGGAGCCCCGCUGUUUGCUCAUGGCCGUGAGCAUCUGGCUAAUAUAGGAAGUCAGGAGGUCAUCCAUCUUGUAGCCCUGGAAACAGCAUCAAGAAGAUAAACAGAGCACAGAGUGGGACAGGGCUGCCCACUCAGACCCAGAACACAGCUCCCAGGAAACUGUAAUGGAAACAAGCCUGGACAAAGGCAAAUCCUGUCCCGCUCUGAGGGUCUCCCUAGCCACAAAGUGAAGGGUUAGAUUCAUCCAGCCCAACACCUAGGGUUCUAAGCUGUUGUGACCCUACACUAAUCCUGGAUGUCUACCUCCAGGAGGGACUGUAAGGGCUCUACUGGUGAACUUAGGGGCCAAAAGCUCAAUCCCCAGCUAGUGAAGGCACUGGGACAAUAGCUUCUGAAUGAGGACUCUGUUUCUCAGCCCUAGAAGAAGCCCCUUCCCCAGACCUAAGCUGAGCCCCCACCUGACCCUUGAUCCCAACCACAUCUGGGAGCUAGAGGGAUGGCUAAAGCUGUAGGCAAAGUGGGGGAACAUGCCAGGCCGAGGAGGAAGAGCUCUUACCAGUGACGUCUCACAGAGAAGUUUGCUCCCGCGCACCAGGUUCCCAAUGGUGAUGUGGAAGUAGGUGUUGCCACUGCUCCAGUUGGAGAUCUUGGUGAAGGGGUGAGUGGUCAGGAUGUCCUGGGGGAGCAGAGAGAGUUGGAAGCUGCACAGCCUGGACCACCUGGCCUCCUUUCUCUCAGCUGUAGCCCACAGACACUACCCCCAGGAAGGACCUCGGGCCUUCAGACUAGAGAAGAAGCAAGAGGGUGGCGUCCAGCUGUGCUGGGGAGCUUCCUCCUCCAGGGGCCACUUGGUGGGACAACCAAGGAAACCUCGGGGGCAUUCAGGUGUGUGGGGCCAGAAUUGGAAUUUUGAGAGCCUGAAGGAGCUCCAGCUGUGGUCCCAGAGGAGAUGGUCCAGCAGAGAGGGAGGUGGGAGGGAGACGCGGAGAUGACCCGACCUUGGGGAACACAGUAUGUGGGGUGGCGGGGGCACAUGGAUGGAGAAGAAGCCCAUGAAACUGCCCGAGAGACGGACCAAGGACGACAUGAGGAAAAGCAGGAAGGUGGGCACAUGGAGCCAAGGGGAAGAGGGUGGUCAUUGGCCCCCUGUGCCGACAGUCCCAGUUGUACCCUCCUGUGUCAGUGGUAAGACUCUGCCUUCUGGCCCCCUUGGUGGGAGCUGCUCAGGCCCACAGAUCAGAGCAGAGUUCCCCAAGCAGCACAGCCUGCCCCCCUGACGAGUGAGGGCAGAGAGCAUUCUGGAAGGAGGGAGUGGUUGGCAGCAUCUGAUGUUGCUGAAAGGACAAGCCCUAAACGUUAAUUGGAUUUAGUAUUGAGGACUGUGUUAGCAACUCAGGGAGCCGUCUUCAUGGAGCAGAUGACAGAUGACAGGUAAGGAAGUAGACACAACAAACACAAACAGUUCCUCAAGAUGUGUGGCCAGGGGCACGGAUGAAGCGAGGAUGGUAGUGGCUGGUGGGGACUUUGGGGGUUUGGGCCUGGGGGCCUUUGUUAGAAAUGCAGAUGGAGAAACCUAUCCACACCUUCUCUUCCUGUCACUGCUCACCUUGGUUCUGGGAUCGAUGAGACUGACCCCGUACUUGUUGAUGGCAAUUAAGAGGAUCUCAGGGAAGUUUGGCUCCGUAGUUUGCUAGUUAAAAAAUAAAGACAUUUUAAAAAGCGCCCGAACCGUCAGAUGGAGAACCCAGAGCAGGAAAAGGUGUGUGAUUUGGGGCAGGAAGGAAGCCGCCCCCGACUAAAGUCCCCCCCUGCUGCGGCCGGCUCUGUACCAGAGGCACAGAGGUGCUGGUGGCCUUGCCAUGACCGCAUGGUCGCCACCUCUGCCGGGCCCUCCGUGCUACCCCAGAUCCCUUCCCGGGUCCCCAGCAACCCCACCCGCAGUUUCCUAUCUUCUGUCCUGCUUUAGGAGUCUCUGUGAUUGCUCUCUCAGCCUCAAAGACUCAUCUUUAAAGAGCCUCCUUGAACCCUACACCUGCCUCCAGCUCCCACCUCACUCUCGCUUCCGCAGCCAGGCUCCUCCAAGGGCCGCCCCCUCCUCUCAGUCCAGACCUGCCCCCUCUUGCCAGCCUCCUCCCCAUUCUCCCUCAGAUCCACCCUAUGGUCAGAGGGGCUUCUGGCCCCGUCAUCCCUUCUUAAAACCCUGCAGGGCCUGCCACCGCCGGCAGGAGGAAACCCACCUUCCCUGCCUGCUCACACCCCAGGCCCGUCCACACUCACGCACCCGCACUUCCUGCCCAGACCUGAGCUCUCACACCUGUGGAUCUCUGCUUGUGCGGGGCCCUCUGCCAGGAACAGCCCCCUGAGGGUCUCCCUGGAAAGCUCAGGUGUUGCCUCUUCCAGGAAGCCCCCUCAGCCGUCACAGUCUGGUUGAGCCUUCCAGGCUCUGCCACCUUGAUGAAGGCUCCCCCUGUCCCAGUGCUGAGCAUGUUCCAUCACUGGGGCCUUUUUCACGUCUGCCCUUCCCCCUGCGCCCCCCUCCCUCACCACCAGGUUGAGGUGUUGGUCCCUCAGUGUCCCAGGAGUGAGUCCAGGGCUCAGCACCUACCGGGGACAAGGCUGUGGGGGAUUCCCUCCUUUCCUGGCCUGGCAGGUGGCAGAGACCACUGCAGUUUCCCAAAGUCACUGGGAGGGUCCCUGCCUCUGCUCUGAGAAGCCACCCACAUGCAGCAUACCUUGACCUCGAAGAAGGCUGAGCCAAAGGUGGGCCACUUGAAGAUGAGCUUCAGGAAGGCCAGCUUGGCCUCCUCCUUGGACUUGCCUGCAUGCUUGUUGAAAUAGGCAACGAUGGACUGCAGGGGGAGGGGGGGGUCAGGGGCCUCUCCCUGCCACUCCUGUCCCCCCUUCACGGUCAGCAGCUAUUGCGGGCCCUGAAGGGCCAGGCAUAGGAUGGAGGUCUUGGAGGCCAGGAGGGCUCCCCACUUAUACCAGUUAAUGGACUCUGGACAGCUCUGCCCUCCCCCGAAGCCAGCAGGGCAAACAGUGUCUAGUAAAAUCCAGUCACCAUGGUAACCAGGACCAGGGCAGAUUACAGCCCAGUGGUCAGCUGCAUGCUCUGCCUGGAGCACCUACUAGGGAAGUGACGACGAAAGCAGGUUGAGAGGCGAAGGGGUGUUGGGGGGAACCUUAGGACACACACAGGGACCAAAAGAGAUACCUCCCUGCCCUGCUGACCCAUACCUGCCCCCUUGACCCCGGGGUGCCCAGAGACCCAUGCAGGGAGGCUCUGAGUACGCCUGCUUCUCCCCCAAGCUCACCCGCUUCCAGUCAUCUGGUGAGAUCUGCCGGAUGAGGUCCUGGGGCACAAGCUCCCGAAGCAGCUUGGGGAUACUGGGGAAGUAGGACUUGUCUUCCUCAAACUUGACCCUGUAGAUGAGCGCCCCCAGCUGCAGCACCUCCUCCCGGGUGCAC